Long non-coding RNA from Bubalus bubalis (water buffalo), 704 nucleotides. RefSeq lists it as uncharacterized. Lineage: Eukaryota; Metazoa; Chordata; Mammalia; Artiodactyla; Bovidae. The record is from RefSeq and is a predicted model, not a curated record. The transcript has 3 exons.
CAGUCCAUGGGGUCGCAAAGAGUCAGACAUGGUUGAAUGACUAACCCUUUCUUUUCUCUCCAGUCAUUAUGACCUUCCCUGAGUUCCAAAGGGCAGGUUGCUAGUAAAAGGAGGAGAAACCACCCAAAGCAAGAUUAAAGGGACCAGAGAAGUUCAUAAAGAUUAGGAGAUGGACCACCUGAGACUACGGGCAUGCAAGCCCUGCUCACACCUUGAUCUUGUCAGAGCCCGCCUUUGACCCACUGUUAUGAAAACCCUCAUCAAGUUCUCUAGAGUAGUCACAUAGUUUUUCAGCGCAGAGGCCUGGUGUGUCUCCCUUUGCUUGGCAAGGCAAUAAAGCUAUCCUUUUCUACUUCACCCAAAACCUUGUCUCUGGGAUUUGAUUCGGCACCAGUGUUCAGAGAGGUUGAGCUUUUGGAAAAAGAAAUUAAGACUCAAAAGAAACACCAGGGAUGCUCCAGGAGAGAGGAGAACCCAGUGAGAACAUCGGGGGACAGCCAUCUGCAAGCCAAGGAAAGAGGCUUCUCACGAAAUCCAACCUUGAUCUCACCCUCCCAGCCCCUAGAACUGUGGGGCACCUAGAUGAACUGACCUCAAUGUUGAGAUGUUUCUCUCAGAAUACCACCUGCCAGGGCACCUCCCACCAGUUCUGAGAGCAUCAGGAUAAUCACUGCUCUGUGUUCCUUAAAGUUCCUUGUUCUUGA